Molecule: ribosomal RNA, 460 nt
Filed under: uncultured bacterium
Lineage: Bacteria
Description: partial 16S ribosomal RNA
Rfam family: Bacterial small subunit ribosomal RNA
Source: RNAcentral
CCUACGGGUGGCAGCAGUGAGGAAUAUUGGUCAAUGGGCGCUAGCCUGAACCAGCCAAGUAGCGUGAAGGAUGACUGCCCUAUGGGUUGUAAACUUCUUUUAUAUGGGAAUAAAGUCCAGUAUGUAUACUUCUUUGCAUGUACCUUAUGAAUAAGGAUCGGCUAACUCCGUGCCAGCAGCCGCGGUAAUACGGAGGAUCCGAGCGUUAUCCGGAUUUAUUGGGUUUAAAGGGAGCGUAGGCGGGUUGUUAAGUUAGUGGUGAAAGUGUGCGGCUCAACCGUAAAAUUGCAGUUGAUACUGGCAGCCUAGAGAGUAGUAGAGGUAGGCGGAAUGCGUGGUGUAGCGGUGAAAUGCUUAGAUAUCACGCAGAACUCCGAUUGCGAAGGCAGCCUGCUGGACUAUAACUGACGCUGAUGCACGAAAGUGUGAGUAUCAAACAGGAUUAGAUACCCGAGUAGUC